Molecule: ribosomal RNA, 406 nt
Filed under: uncultured bacterium
Lineage: Bacteria
Description: partial 16S ribosomal RNA
Rfam family: Bacterial small subunit ribosomal RNA
Source: RNAcentral
AUUGAACGCUGGCGGCAGGCCUAACACAUGCAAGUCGAGCGAGCGGCGGACGGGUGAGUAAUGUCUGGGAAACUGCCUGAUGGAGGGGGGUAACUACUGGAAACGGUAGCUAAUACCGCAUACCAUCAGAUUUGCCCAGAUGGGAUUAGCUAGUAGGUGGGGUAACGGCUCACCUAGGCGACGAUCCCUAGCUGGUCUGAGAGGAUGACCAGCCACACUGGAACUGAGACACUGACCAGACGCCUACGGGAGGAAGCAGUGGGGAAUAUUGCACAAUGGGCGCAAGCCUGAUGCAGCCAUGCCGCGUGGGUGAAGAAGGCCUGCGGGUUGGAAAGUACUUUCAGCGGGGAGGCGUUACCCGCAGAAGAAGCACCGGCUAACUCCGUGCCAGCAGCCGCGGUAAUUC